RNAcentral lists this ribosomal RNA (498 nucleotides) under Triticum aestivum (bread wheat). RNAcentral's name for it is "partial small subunit ribosomal RNA". The record is from RNAcentral. Lineage: Eukaryota; Viridiplantae; Streptophyta; Magnoliopsida; Poales; Poaceae.
AUGGCCUCCUCGAGCACAACUAACUCCACCCUCUCUGGCCAGAUCACCGAACGCCUUACCAGAACCAACUAUAUCCUCUGGCGUACCCAGAUCACACCGCAGCUUCGAGGGGCUGGUUUCUUCGGCUAUGUGGACGGGAGCAUGCCGGAGCCGGCCAAGGUCGUCGUCAGCAAGGACAAGGAUGGCAAGGAGGAGACCAUCCCCAACCCGAUUCACUCGGUUUGGAUCCGAGAGGAUCAGCAGGUGCUUGGUUACCUUUUGAAUAACCUCUCCAAAGAAGUGCUUGUGCAGGUGACUUCGAUCGCCCACGCACACGAACUCUGGACAGCAUUGGCGGGCAUGUUCUCGUCCACAUCGCUGUCUCGCGUCAACAACAUCCGCGCGUCACUCACGAACGCACAGAAAGGACAGCAGUCGGUGGCUUCCUACUUCGCAUACAUGCGGGGUUUCGCCGACGAACUCCUGCAGCAGGCAAGCCCCUGCAGGAUGAUGAGUUGA